AGAGUUUGAUCCUGGCUCAGAAUCAACGCUGGCGGCGUGCCUAACACAUGCAAGUCGCACGAGAAAGGGUAGCAAUACCUGAGUAAAGUGGCGCACGGGUGAGUAACACGUGAAUGAUCUACCUCCGAGUGGGGAAUAACUGAGAGAAAUCUCAGCUAAUACCGCAUAACACUUACGAGUCAAAGCAGCAAUGCGCUUGGAGAGGAGUUCGCGGCCGAUUAGUUAGUUGGCGGGGUAAUGGCCCACCAAGACGAUGAUCGGUAUCCGGCCUGAGAGGGCGCACGGACACACUGGAACUGAAACACGGUCCAGACUCCUACGGGAGGCAGCAGUGGGGAAUUUUGCGCAAUGGGGGAAACCCUGACGCAGCAACGCCGCGUGGAGGAUGAAAUAUCUUGGUAUGUAAACUCCUUUCGAUGGGGAAGAUUAUGACGGUACCCAUAGAAGAAGCCCCGGCUAACUUCGUGCCAGCAGCCGCGGUAAUACGAGGGGGGCAAGCGUUGUUCGGAUUUAUUGGGCGUAAAGGGUGCGUAGGCGGUUUGAUAAGUCUGAUGUGAAAUCUAUGGGCUCAACCCAUAGUCUGCAUUAGAAACUGUCGGGCUUGAGUAUGGGAGAGGUGAGUGGAAUUUCCGGUGUAGCGGUGAAAUGCGUAGAUAUCGGAAGGAACACCUGUGGCGAAAGCGGCUCACUGGACCAUAACUGACGCUGAGGCGCGAAAGCCAGGGGAGCAAACAGGAUUAGAUACCCUAGUAGUCC
Molecule: ribosomal RNA, 756 nt
Filed under: uncultured bacterium
Lineage: Bacteria
Description: bacterial SSU rRNA
Rfam family: Bacterial small subunit ribosomal RNA
Source: RNAcentral